AUAAUGUUAUGGAAGAAAUAUUUUACAGCAUGAUUGACGUUAUAGAAAAUCUUGCAACAAAGAGGAACAUGCAAAAAAAAAAGUGCCACUGUGUUCUCUCCGAGCUAGAUGGUGGUGACAGAGGAUUGAAGUCAUCCAUCCCUGCCUUCACGUCGCCGCCGGCGAGCUCCAACCUUCGACCAGCACCGUUGUCGUUGCCGACAGCACCGUCGGCUAAUUAUUAUAAAAUUCUUGCAACACACAUGAUGUUGCAGAAUUUUUUUGCAAUGAAAAUGGUGAUAAAAAAACACCGCCGUCGUUGCCGAUAGCACCACCAUCGCUCGCCUCCGUCGCCACCAACCAGAAGGCCAUCCACCUCCAAGCUCUCGUCCCAAGCGCCACCAAUGUCCAUCGUCGGUUGCAUCCGUCGGUGAGCAUGUAUCCUACCUCCACCUCUGAGCUCUCGUCUUGAACACCACCAAUCCCCGUCAUCAGUCGCGUCGACCGACGAGCUCACGUCCUGCCUCCAUGAGCGCUUGUUGUUGUAACCCCUAGCUACUUCUUGCAUGCUACCCUCGGGGGCAUGGCCGGUGGGCACAAGCUAGAGCAGUUCGUGGGUGUCUCCGUGGGAGCUAAUUACCAUGCUGCUUGCGUGUGUGGUGGAUGAGGCUGGAUGGCUAAAAGGAAGAAG
This 670-nucleotide long non-coding RNA is filed under the name Hordeum vulgare. RNAcentral's name for it is "long non-coding RNA (HVUL_LNC007091)". The record is from RNAcentral. Lineage: Eukaryota; Viridiplantae; Streptophyta; Magnoliopsida; Poales; Poaceae.